AUUAAGCCAUGCAUGUGUAAGUACACACUAAAUAAAAGUGAAACCGCGAAUGGCUCAUUAAAUCAGCUAUGAUUCAUUGGAUCUGUACCACUUUUUCUUACUUGGAUAACUGUGGUAAUUCUAGAGCUAAUACAUGCACAUAUAGUCCCUUUAAGCCAUGUUUGUGUAGCAAUACUGAACUGAGGUUUUAAAAAGGGCGCAAUUAUUAGUAUCAAAACCGGUUGAAUCGGGCUACGGUCCGUAUGGUUGUGAUGACUCUGGAUAAUUUUUAGCUGAGCGCAUAGUCUUUUGCACUGGCGCCGCUUCUUUUCAAGUGUCUGCCUUAUCAGCUUUCGAUUGUAGGUUAUGUGCCUACAAUGGCUAUAACGGGUAACGGGGAAUCAGGGUUCGAUUCCGGAGAGGGAGCCUGAGAAACGGCUACCACAUCCAAGGAAGGCAGCAGGCACGCAAAUUACCCACUCCCGGCAUGGGGAGGUAGUGACGAAAAAUAACGAUGCGAGACUCAUCCGAGGCCUCGCAAUCGGAAUGAGUACACUUUAAAUACUUUAACGAGUAUCAAUUGGAGGGCAAGUCUGGUGCCAGCAGCCGCGGUAAUUCCAGCUCCAAUGGCAUAUAUUAAAGCUGUUGCGGUUAAAAAGCUCGUAGUUGGCUUUUCAAUCUGUGCUGAUGGUGAUCAUAAAGUCCCUCUGAUGGGUGUGAUCAUCUGUCUUGCACAGUAACCGCUUAAGCGAGAUGAUUCUUGCAAUCGCCUUCUAACUGGCUUGCACGGGGUGCUCUUAAGUGAGUGUCCCGAGUGGCUGGUGUGUUUACUUUGAAAAAAUUAGAGUGCUC
Molecule: ribosomal RNA, 831 nt
Filed under: Phylladiorhynchus tiphys
Lineage: Eukaryota; Metazoa; Arthropoda; Malacostraca; Decapoda; Galatheidae
Description: SSU rRNA
Rfam family: Eukaryotic small subunit ribosomal RNA
Source: RNAcentral